AUGGAUAUGGAGGAAACCAAGCCAGAGCCAGUUCUGAGGUCUCAGCUGCUUGAUGCACAGUGGAGUCCAAGCGCGUGGGGUCCGUCAAACUCCCUUCUUCAGCAUCAAGCCUCUCGAACAAAUCCUUCUCCAAUUUCUAUUGCAAGCUCCUUCCUCCUAUUCAUUUUCCACUUCUUCGACAUCAAUUCAGCUCCGAAAGGCUAUUUCUCGCACCAUGCAAUUUGCAGAUUACUUGUAUUCGUAUAG
Molecule: non-coding RNA, 246 nt
Organism: Vicia faba (fava bean)
Lineage: Eukaryota; Viridiplantae; Streptophyta; Magnoliopsida; Fabales; Fabaceae
Source: the annotation of a GenBank genome assembly